CUACGGGCCGCUGCAGUGAGGAAUAUUGCACAAUGGGGGGAACCCUGAUGCAGCAACGCCGUGUGGAGGAUGACGCAUUUCGGUGUGUAAACUCCUUUUAUAUGUCAAGAAAAUGACGGUAGCAUAUGAAUAAGCACCGGCUAACUCCGUGCCAGCAGCCGCGGUAAUACGGAGGGUGCAAGCGUUACUCGGAAUCACUGGGCGUAAAGGACGCGUAGGCGGGUUGGAAAGUCAGGUGUGAAAUCCUACAGCUUAACUGUAGAACUGCACUUGAAACUUCUAAUCUAGAGUAUGGGAGGGGGAGAUGGAAUUAGUGGUGUAGGGGUAAAAUCCGUAGAUAUCACUAGGAAUACCUAAGGCGAAGGCGAUCUCCUGGAACAUUACUGACGCUAAGGCGUGAAAGCGUGGGGAGCAAACAGGAUUAGAUACCCUAGUAGUC
RNAcentral lists this ribosomal RNA (439 nucleotides) under uncultured bacterium. Its description in RNAcentral is "partial 16S ribosomal RNA". It matches the Rfam family "Bacterial small subunit ribosomal RNA", at positions 339 to 795 of the family's 1533-position model. The record is from RNAcentral.